AUGAACGCUGGCGGCGUGCUUAACACAUGCCAGUCGAACGAUGAAGCCCAGCUUGCUGGGUGGAUUAGUGGCGAACGGGUGAGUAACACGUGAGUAACCUGCCCUUGACUCUGGGAUAAGCCUGGGAAUCUGGGUCUAAUACUGGAUAUGACUUCUCAUCGCAUGGUGGGGGGUGGAAAGAGUUAUUGGUCUUGGAUGGACUCGCGGCCUAUCAGCUUGUUGGUGAGGUAAUGGCUCACCAAGGCGACGACGGGUAGCCGGCCUGAGAGGGUGACCGGCCACACUGGGACUGAGACACGGCCCAGACUCCUACGGGAGGCAGCAGUGGGGAAUAUUGCACAAUGGGCGCAAGCCUGAUGCAGCGACGCCGCGUGAGGGAUGACGGCCUUCGGGUUGUAAACCUCUUUCAGUAGGGAAGAAGCGAGAGUGACGGUACCUGCAGAAGAAGCGCCGGCUAACUACGUG
This 465-nucleotide ribosomal RNA is filed under the name uncultured bacterium. RNAcentral's name for it is "partial 16S ribosomal RNA". It matches the Rfam family "Bacterial small subunit ribosomal RNA", at positions 29 to 507 of the family's 1533-position model. The record is from RNAcentral.